GGCGGGGUAGCCAAGGGGUUAAGGCAGGGGUUUCAUAAGCCCCCAUGCGGUGGUUCGAAUCCACCCCCCGCUA
Molecule: transfer RNA, 73 nt
Filed under: bacterium
Lineage: Bacteria
Description: tRNA-Met
Rfam family: tRNA
About the family: Transfer RNA (tRNA) molecules are approximately 80 nucleotides in length. Their secondary structure includes four short double-helical elements and three loops (D, anti-codon, and T loops).
Source: RNAcentral